This 1040-nucleotide ribosomal RNA is filed under the name Haptophyta environmental samples. RNAcentral describes it as "SSU rRNA". It matches the Rfam family "Eukaryotic small subunit ribosomal RNA", at positions 404 to 1474 of the family's 1831-position model. The record is from RNAcentral. Lineage: Eukaryota; Haptophyta.
CUAUGGCUCUAUCCAGGAAGGCAGCAGGCGCGUAAAUUGCCCGAAUCCUGACACAGGGAGGUAGUGACAAGAAAUAACAAUACAGGGCUACUUCUAGUCUUGUAAUUGGAAUGAGUACAACUUACAUCUCUUCACGAGGAUCAAUUGGAGGGCAAGUCUGGUGCCAGCAGCCGCGGUAAUUCCAGCUCCAAUAGCGUAUAUUAAAGUUGUUGCAGUUAAAAAGCUCGUAGUCGGAUUUCGGGGCGGGCCGAGCGGUCUGCCGAUGGGUAUGCACUGUUUGGCGCGGCCUUCUUUCCGGAGACCGCGCCUACUCUUAACUGAGCGGGCGCGGGAGACGGAUCGUUUACUUUGAAAAAAUCAGAGUGUUUCAAGCAGGCAGCUCGCUCUUGCAUGGAUUAGCAUGGGAUAAUUGAAUAGGACUCUGGUGCUAUUUUGUUGGUUUCGAACACCGGAGUAAUGAUUAACAGGGACAGUCAGGGGCACUCGUAUUCCGUCGAGAGAGGUGAAAUUCUCAGACCAAUGGAAGACGAACCACUGCGAAAGCAUUUGCCAGGGAUGUUUUCACUGAUCAAGAACGAAAGUUAGGGGAUCGAAGACGAUCAGAUACCGUCGUAGUCUUAACCAUAAACCAUGCCGACUAGGGAUUGGAGGGUGUUCUUUUCGACCCCUUCAGCACCUUACGGGAAACUAAAGUCUUUGGGUUCCGGGGGGAGUAUGGUCGCAAGGCUGAAACUUAAAGGAAUUGACGGAAGGGCACCACCAGGAGUGGAGCCUGCGGCUUAAUUUGACUCAACACGGGGAAACUUACCAGGUCCAGACAUGUUAGGAUUGACAGAUUGAGAGCUCUUUCUUGAUUCAUGGGUGGUGGUGCAUGGCCGUUCUUAGUUGGUGGAGUGAUUUGUCUGGUUAAUUCCGUUAACGAACGAGACCUUAACCUGCUAAAUAGUGACGCUACUCUUUGUAGGCGGCCAACUUCUUAGAGGGACAACUUGUGUUACAAGUGGAAGUUUGAGGCAAUAACAGGUCGGGGUGAUGCCCCA